Molecule: long non-coding RNA, 3286 nt
Organism: Biomphalaria glabrata
Lineage: Eukaryota; Metazoa; Mollusca; Gastropoda; Planorbidae
Exons: 5
Source: RefSeq, a predicted model, not a curated record
GGAUUUUCCCGAUCCCCUCCCACUUUAUUUGUUUCGACUAAUAAGUCGUCCAAGUCUCUUUGAGUAUAGCUUAUCAUCUCUAUAGACACUAUAUAGAUCUAGUCAAAUACACGCCAAAAUACGAGUCAGAGAAAUGUCAGAUGAUUGCUUUGCUCCUGAGGACGAGUCACAACCGUAUGAAGACAUUGUUUUUUACUGUCAGAGAUCCGAUGGAACUAUAACGGAACACAAAACCCAUUGUGGAACUAAUAUAGCUAUACAAGGCUUAAAAUCUGACAUGGAAAAUAUAUUUAACAUACAGUCACAGAACCAAGUCUGGGAAUUCCGUAACCAAGUUCUACAAGACAAUCAGACUUUGGAAAUUUUAAGAGACAUCUGUCCUGGAAGUGAUAACAUCAAGAUAGCUGUUAAAAGCAGAGUUUAAAAAUUUAUAUAAACUACCGCUAUGUCUUCUAUUAUCUAGUGUUUUUUUUUAAGGAAUCAGUAAUUUUUAAGAUUAUCAUCUUAUAUGUUGUUCCUGUAUGCCAGGGGUGGGCAAACUUUUUCCAUCGAGGGCAGCAUUAAAAGAUUUUUAGGAAUUUGGGGCAGCAUACAUAUAGGCCUAGAAUAUGUAUUUACAACUUAGAAAAUAUACAUGUAUACUGUAUUAAACAUUUACAUCUUUUUUUACACUACCAAUUGAAGAAUUACAAUACGAUUUAGCGAUUUCUGAAACUAAUUUUAUUUUUUUUAAUUUUGUUAUUGCCUUUUUACAUCACAACAAUUCAUCCCAACAAUUUGCUUGUGCUGUUGUACAUAAUUUUUAAUAUUUAAUUUUACACUCGUGCAUAAUGUUUUGGAACUGUGGUGGAACUCGCUAACUAGUUGUUAUCCUUGUGACUGCUGUCAAAUUACAGUCUGUCAGCAUCAGGUUAGUCUUACACUUUUUUUUUCAAACAAAAAAGGCUUGUUCACGAUUUAUGUGAACCCAAAUAAUGUAAAAAAUUAGCAUCAAGUUUUUUUAAAGUGUUGAAAUACAGCUUCUGGGAACCUUAAAUCUCCUGUGGAAGGUCAUAAUUUGCUUGAAGGUAUUUCAUCUGGAGCUGAAUUAGCUUCUGCUCUAAAUGGUGAAGUGAGGAUACUGAGAAUUGGUUUCAAGAUCUUGAUGUCUUAAAAUUUGCUUUUCAAAUUCAACUAGUCAUGUACUUUUCAACCAUUUUACUAGAAACCUUUGAUCAAAGGAAAAUGAUUAAACCUGUUUUCAUUUGCUUGCCUGGAGAAAUGGAAAAGUUUUGUUUGGAAAGAUGUACAGACAUUUCAUGAGCAAGCAACCCAUUGGAAUGUUAACGAUGAAAAACAUGAAGUCUGUCUUCCACUCCUCAUUAGAAAUAUUAGUAACAAAGUCACAGUCGAUGUCCCUCAAAGAACAUAACAAUUUCUUCCUUGAGAUCCCAUAAUCUUCUCAAUACCUUGCCCAUACUGACCCAGCAGAUACCACUGUGGUACCUAACAUCGGAAUGUUUUGUUUUCUCACCUUCAAGUAGUUUACUUCUCGGAACUGCGUGUGGUUAAGUCCCCUAGCUCUGAUAAGUUUGAUCGCUGAUAAUUGGGUCAAUAACAUGUUUGUCAUUCAAUGCAGUUUUGUGCAAACUUUCCCGUGCCGAGUUUAUAGUUGGGAUAUUGUUCUUUUUAUUUAAAAAAAAAAACGCUUUACUCAUUCAAAGUACGGGCUCCAUUAGUUGUUACACUUGCCAUCUUGUUCCAAGCCAACCCAACACUUUCAACCCAGUUCUUCAUAGCAUUGAAUAAAUACUGGCUUGAGUUAAAUGUCUUUGACUAAAUGGUUGGAAAUAUUGCAAACAAGCAUAAUCUUUAUUUGUUUUAAAGUUUUUAGAAUGACAUGCAGAGACAAUGUUUUUUAGGCUCUUCAUGUUUAAUCUGUGGGCACACCUGAAUUCUGUAGGUGUUCGCGGGCCACAUGCGGCCCGUGGGCCAUAAUUUGCCCACCACUGCUGUAUGCUAUUCUGAUUGUCAUUGUAAGAGGGUGAGCUUAAAUCUUAAUUCCUAGUCAUAGGCUAUUGUUCUGUUAUCAAUGUCAUCAUCACAACAGUUAAUAUUAUAGUUGAAUUAGUUGGAUAAUGUUAUUGCAACUUCCUUUAUGGUAAUUUUUUAUGGAGAUUGAUUUUCAAAUUUCUUGAUCCACAUACCGGUAUUCCAUGUACAUGAACAGCUGUAUAAACUUCUAAAAAGAUAAAUUACUUUUUGUUCAUUCAAAUACAAUCUACAAAUAUGAAUCAUGGAUUAUUAUAAGUAUAAUAUACUGUGGGGGCAACAUCAUUCUGAACAUAAACAAUGCCCAGGCUUUCAUCUCUCUUGUUCGAGAUGAACCAUAGUAUAUCUCUACAACUAAAGGAGGCCAACAUGAUACAACAUUAUGUUUAAUCAACAGUGCCUAUAAAUAUAAUACCAAAAACAUAGUUUAUAUUAAUUUAAAUGUUUUAAUGCUAUUGGGGAAGCUCAUAGACAAUAAAAUACCUUCGCAAAAAUUAAGAUUCCUUGUAAGUCAAAACGCCUAACACACUAUACAAAAAAUUAAGAAACUUGACUUCUGACCCUCAAUCAAGUGGUCUCAAAUAUACUGAUAUUACUAAAUAAAUAUAAGGGAGGCAUAGUGGCUGAACAGGGGGUCCUGGGUUUGAAUUUCAGUGAGGAUUGGGGUUUUUUAAUUCAUGAUCUUUAGGGUACCUAUGAGUCCAACCAGCUUUAAUGGGUACCCGACGUUAGUUGGGGAAAAUUAAAGGCAGUUGGUCAUAGUGCUGGCAACAUGACACCCUCAUUAACCGAAAAAAAUGAUCUUUACUUCAUUUGCCCUUUAGAUUGCAAUGUCUGAAAGAGGAACUUUUUAAAUAAUUAAAAUAUAUAUAUUGAAAUUAGUUUAAAUCUAGAUGUGGUAAAAACAGUUUUAUUUGAUUGGAGAUUCUUGGCCUUAUUUCAAUAUGCUAACCAUAAAUAAUUGAACUAACCAAAUCAUUGUUUCUAGCAAAUAUUUAGCUUAUGAAGCAACAAAAUUCACACUCUUUGUUUAUCAUAUUCUAAAAAAAAAAUUAUAGCAUGUAGUGCUUUAUACUUUAUUUGAUAUUUAUUUUUAUCUACAAAGGUGUUUUGUUGUUAGUUUUUUUGGUCAUGGUUGUUUAAAUAUUUGAAAUGUUUGCUUCUCUCUGGUUUGCCUGAUUAUGAAUGGUUAAAACCUAAAAAUCCAUUACACGUAUUGAAAAAAUAAUUAAAUGAAUAAAAUGAAAUUAUCUCG